This 504-nucleotide ribosomal RNA is filed under the name uncultured Gemmatimonadota bacterium. RNAcentral's name for it is "bacterial SSU rRNA". It matches the Rfam family "Bacterial small subunit ribosomal RNA", at positions 9 to 523 of the family's 1533-position model. The record is from RNAcentral. Lineage: Bacteria; Pseudomonadati; Gemmatimonadota.
GAGUUUGAUCCUGGCUCAGGACGAACGCUGGCGGCGUGCUUAACACAUGCAAGUCGCACGGGGCAGCAAUGCCCAGUGGCGAACGGGUGCGUAACACGUGAGGAACAUGACUUCCGGUGGGGGAUAGCCGGCCCAACGGCCGGGUAAUACCGCAUACGCUGCGCGAGGGGCAUCCCUCGUGUCGGAAAGCAGCAAUGCGCCGGAAAGGUGCCUCGCGGCCUAUCAGCUAGUUGGUGAGGUAAUGGCUCACCAAGGCGACGACGGGUAGCUGGUCUGAGAGGAUGAUCAGCCACAUUGGGACUGAGACACGGCCCAGACUCCUACGGGAGGCAGCAGUGGGGAAUAUUGCGCAAUGGACGAAAGUCUGACGCAGCGACGCCGCGUGAGGGAGGAAGCUCUUCGGGGUGUAAACCUCUGUUGCCGGGAACGAAACGCCAGAUUCGUCUGGCUUGACGGUACUCGGUGAGGAAGCGCCGGCUAACUCUGCGCCAGCCGCCGCCGUAA